Molecule: long non-coding RNA, 1076 nt
Filed under: Calidris pygmaea (Spoon-billed sandpiper)
Lineage: Eukaryota; Metazoa; Chordata; Aves; Charadriiformes; Scolopacidae
Description: lncRNA (ENSCPGG00000010767.1)
Source: RNAcentral
CAAAGGCUUACUUCUUGCUUGCUGUAUCAGUCAAGAUAAAUGGGAGGACAGUUCCUCCCUUAGACCUUUGGAGAAAUAAUGUACAAGCUAAUCCUGCUUUCAGUUAAGUCAGUGCCAAACUGCCUAUAGGAGUAGCUUAAUAGAAAGAUGAAGUUUUAUGAAUUCAGAGACCGUGAACUGGUGGUUUAUUUUCUGUGUCGCAGAACACCACAGGAGGGACCGAUGUGCCUGUGGUGUGCAUACAUCACGACUCACCCUAGUGACAAUGUGGGAAGGGGCACCCGAAGGGUUUCUGCCCUUGUGUGGCGUCCUUGGGGAGACCAAAGGAUCCAAUUCCCCUGGCAGGGAGUCGGUACAGGCAUCUUGCGUUCACGUGCAGGAUGAUGUUUGCCCAGCAAAGCCCACAUGCUCCAGCCAUCUGAACGUGUUAAAAGGGACAAGAUUAUGGCAGAACCAAUUACUCCUUUCCAGGAGGCAGAGGAAGGAUUUGGUACCACUUCACAUGGGAGGGAUGGAAAGAGGAAUAGUUUAAUGCUGGCCAGAGAGGUCACUGAUUCACUUCGCAUAAACCAUGGGGACCUUCUUGGGACUCUGCCAGCACCUGGGAGAAUUACAGGUGAAUACCAAAGUUCUCCUUCUCACACAGCCCCAGUCUGUAGCCUGGUGAAGAAGGACACGAAGAUGCUCAGGGGGCUGGAGCACCUCUCCUAUGAAGACAGGCUGAGAGAGCUGGGGUUGUUCAGCCUGGAGAAGAGAAGGCUCCGGGGAGACCUUAUAGCAGCCUUCCAAUAUCUGAAGGGAGCCUACAGGAGAGCCGGAGAGGGACUCUUUGUCAGGAAGUAUAGUGACAGGACAGGAGGUACUGGUUUUAAUUUGGAAGAGGGGAGAUUUAGAUUAGAUACCAGAAAGAAAUUCUUUCCUGUGAGGGUGGUGAGACACUGGAACAGGUUGCCCAGGGAAGCUGUGGCUGCCCCAUCCCUGGAGGUGUUCAAGGCCAGGCUGGAUGGGGCUUUGAGCAACCUGCUCUAGUGGGAGGUGUCCCUGCCCAUGGCAGGGGGGUUGGAACUCCAUGAUCU